AAAAGCACAGCUUCACUUGCACUCUUUUUUGCACUCAACCUUCUCUUCUUUUCUCUGGUGUCUGCAUGUGGUGGGGGCUGCCCUUCUCCUAAGCCAAAACCUCCAUCACCAAAGCCAAAACCUCCAUCACCAAAGCCAAAACCAACUCCACCAUCAUGUGGUGGGGGCUGCCCUUCUCCUGAGCCAAAACCAACUCCACCAUCAUGUGGUGGGGGCUGUCCUCCUAAGCCAACACCUCCAUCACCAAAGCCAACACCAACUCCGUCACCUCCAGGAAAAUGCCCUAGGGAUGCACUUAAAUUAGGCGUAUGUGCUAAAGUGCUGGGUUCAUUGCUCAAU
This 339-nucleotide long non-coding RNA is filed under the name Manihot esculenta (cassava). Its description in RNAcentral is "long non-coding RNA (MESC_LNC000771)". The record is from RNAcentral. Lineage: Eukaryota; Viridiplantae; Streptophyta; Magnoliopsida; Malpighiales; Euphorbiaceae.